AUUUAUAGUCGAGUCUCAAGACAGCGUCGAUGCUCAAGACCGACCUUGAACCAACUUUGUGUUUUAUAAACCGAUCUCGAGACACGACGUUGUCUUGGGAAGUGUAAAAUGACAGGCGAAUCUCAAGUCAUCGAUCGACCUUCCUCAAGACCGCGAUUCUAACCUAACUUUGUUUGUUAUUGUUUGAAUUUUGAAUAUUUUAAAUUCAGUUCCAACAUAUAUUUUUUGUUUUUCUAAUUACAACAAAAAUGUAUGAAGAAGUAAAAGCAUUUUUAGAGUUUAUUGAUAAUAUUGGAGAAGAAAAUCGCCCGGGAAGUAUACAAAAGCGAUAUAUUCAAGAUAAAAAUAUAAUCUAAAAUACAAUGGAGUAUUACAAUAUUGAAGUUCAUCAGCGAAUCAGCGCAUUAACUUAAACAAUAAAGGUUUUAUGCUACUUAUAGGAAUAUAACCAGUUUUUAUGAGGACCCCGCUUUCCAAAAAUGUACAGGUACUAGAAGAGAAAUUAUGUGUAUUAUUGUUCAACAACAAGGUUAUCAAGUCAUUCAAUAUUUGAUCUAAGAGCAUUAAGAGUGAAAUUGUGAAAUGGAAAGAAGUGAAAUUCCAGGAUUAUUAAUAGGAAUAGAUGACAGUAGUGGGUAUGCAUGCAGACACUAUCUACUUACCCCAGUAUUACACCCAGGUAAUGAUCAAGAAAAUAAGAUUUUUACCAUAGUACUCAUGUGAGAACAAGAAAUGUAGAAAAGCUAUUUGGAACCUGGAAAAGAGUUUCCUUGUCUUCAACAAGGUCUACAAACCAAAUUAUAUACAUGUCUUGCAAUAAUAUGUGCUACAGCAGUACCUUACAAUCUAGGUAAAUAAUGAUCUGGUGGUAAAUAGACAUGUUAAUGAUGUGGAACAAUUUCUAAAUUUUUGGUGACAUUUUUUUCAACAAUAUUUUGCAUGAGAAUACAUUAUUGAAUACCUA
Molecule: long non-coding RNA, 964 nt
Organism: Diabrotica virgifera virgifera (western corn rootworm)
Lineage: Eukaryota; Metazoa; Arthropoda; Insecta; Coleoptera; Chrysomelidae
Exons: 3
Source: RefSeq, a predicted model, not a curated record